Long non-coding RNA from Homo sapiens (human), 3060 nucleotides. Ensembl annotates it as long intergenic non-protein coding RNA 279. NCBI's taxonomy places the organism in Eukaryota, Metazoa, Chordata, Mammalia, Primates, Hominidae. The record is from Ensembl.
UCUUUAAUUGGGCUGUUUCUGGAUGAGACUGCCUCUCACCACAGAUUAUUUAGCAGCCAGGGAUUUCAGAGAGCAAAAGGGACUUCAGGACCGUCUCACUGGAGGGGUUCUGUCAUUUGGCUGUUGCUGGAUGGGACUGCCUCUCACCACAGAUUAUUUAGCUGCCUGGAAUUUCAGAGAGCAAAAGGGACUUCAGGAGAGGACAGACGUGAGCCAGCCUGAAGAAACAUCAAGUACCACCCCAGGAAUAAAUCUUGAAUUCCCUAAAUAUCAAAAGGAUCUGCAAGAUUUCUGAGGCCUGCCUACACAUUUUAGGGUGCUUCAAGUUGUGAUGGGGCACUCCUUCGUCAUCUUGUAAUUUCAUCCUGGGACAUAGAGUGUAAGCAACAUUAAGUGCCCUUCAACAGCACUACCAGACAUGUUAUUCAGGCUUACCAUCGUCACUGUCUCAACAUCUUCUGCACCUGUGAGAGGCCAGCCCGAGAUGUGAGAACACUGUUCCACCUUGGACUUGCCUUUGUCGUGGUUCCUGUCUUUCCCAGAGAGCCCCUGCAAGAUGCAAGAUGAAGGGAGACAGCUAGGUCUACAGCCCAGACAUCUUUCACUGACACAUGCCUCUGGGGCCUCAGCCACUCUUCUAGAAAGAAGAGGAGCAUACCACACCAAAACACAAGUAUCUAUUAGCGUUCCAUCAUCCUGCAACCAACCCAGCAUGAGACACUAGUAGUGCUGUCCACCAGGCUUCUUGAAAUUACCUCGAAUUCAGUUCCCAGCCAAGCAGGUGCUUCAUAAGGAGAGGAAAAACAUAAGCCAGCCUGAAGAUACGUCAAGCACAGCCACAGGAAUAAACUGCAAAAUCCCUAAGAAUCCAAAAGGAUCUGCAGGAUUUCUCAAGCCUGCCUAGAUGUCGAAUCUUUGAACAUCGCUUGGACUCGUUCACAAGUCAGCUCAUUCUCUCAGCGCUACUGGACACCAUUCUCAGGCUGGCAAUUGCCACAGAGGGCAUCUGAGACAUUGUCUCAACUUCAUCUGCACCAGUGGGAGGCCUUUCCCAGGUGGGAGAACACUACUCCACUUUGGAAUUGCCAUUGUCAGUGUUCCUGGCUUUCCCAGAGAGCCACUGCAAGGCCCAGGAUGAAGGGAGGCAGUGAGAUUAAGGACACAAUCAUCUUUCACUGACAUCCAACUCUGGGACCUCAGGGUUUCCUCAUUCUGGCUUAACGACUUCAACACAAAACGUUUAAAACUUCACUUAGAACGAUCCUCAUGGGAAUCCAUUGUAGAGUCUCUUCCUUUGGGCUGUUCCUGGAUGGGACUGCCUGGCACCACAGAUCACUUAGCUGCCAGGAACUUCAGCGAGCAUAAGAGACUUCAGAAAGCCUUUGUGAGGCCCAGGAUGAAGGGAGGCAAUGAGGUUAAGGGCCCAACUGCCAGAAUAUAUUCCAAUACCCACGGGACUUGAUUACUGCACACAGCCUCUUUCGUGAAUGGUGUCAAAAGGGCCAUUUCCUCAGGCCUGCCUAGACGUUGUACGGUGUUUCCUGGGAUUGGCUCAUCGACCUCUACACUAAAUGUUUCCAAGGUCAUGGAGAACGACCCCAGUGGGAAUCCAUUGACCUUCUCUUUGUGGAGGGGAUCUUUUAUUGGCUUGUUCCUGGAUGGGACUGACUUUGACCAAAUAUUAUCAAGGUGACAGUGACUUCAGAGAGCUGAAGGGACUUCAGGAAUCCAGAGUGACCCUCAACAGAACUACUGGACACUCUUUUUGGGCUUACCAUCACUACAGACGGCCUCUGGGGCAUUAUCUCAAACUCAUCUCCACCUGUGAGUGGACAGUCCGAGGUGUGAGAACACUGCUCCAAUGUGGACUUGCAUUUUUCUUGGUUCCUGCCUUUCCAAGACAGCCCUGAGAGGUCCAGGAUGAAGGGAGGCAGCGAGGUCAAGACCCCAGCCAUCUUUCACUGAUAUUUACCUCUGGUUUCUAAAGUAUAAUUCUAACACUUAAAGAACCCUCAACAACACUACAGACAAAAUUCGAAUCCCCAUGGGACCUGAUUCUUGCACACAGCCUCUGUCGGGCAUGGAUUCAGAAGGGCAGUUUCCACUGACCACAUUAGAGUCUUGAAAUGCCUCCUCAUCCAGCUGGGCCUAACCACAGAGACUGCUAGAAAGGGUCCCGAGGUUGAGAAUUUUAGGUUCAUGCAGUAGGCUUUAAUAGGCAGCCUUUUUCCCAAUAGCAGCCCAGCUCUGCCGAUACCAUUUUCCUCUGCUUAGGCAGGCUGACACCUCUGACAGCUGGGCACCUGAGCCUGCCUCUUGAAUAUGCAUGUGCUAAAGUCAGGGCAUUGGGCUGAUUUUGAGUUUUGGUUAACGUCACAAUGAAUGUCACCAUUGCCUAGUGGCAAGUCCCUGUGGCUUGGCAAAGAAGGAGAACUCUGUGGAGGUGCGUCGGGCAUGGACACUCACCUGUCUUUUUUGUGGGAUCCACAGGAUAAUCCCAUGAUCCUAGAAGAAGGCAGACAUGAGCCAGUCUGAAGAAAAGCCAAGCACAGCCCCAGAAAUAGACCACAAAAUUCCUAAGUAUCCACAAUAUCUGAAGGACUACUCAGGCCUGCCAAGACGUUGUAGAUGUGAAUUUUUUUAAGUUUGCUGCACUGUUUUUUAGGUACAGCCUACCUGUUUCCCAGGGUUGCUGUCUCCCAGUUAGUGUUUCCUGCAGAACCACAUAGUUUCAGGAGCUGCAGGUCUUUGUGUUUCUGUGGGAGUGUGGUGAGAGUUGGAUGUCUGCGUGUGUGUAGCAUUGUGUGUGUGUGUGUAUGUGUUCCUGUAAUUAGAGUCUGCUUAAAGGAAUGUGGCUGAUGCACUACAACACUUCUUUGUUUUUUUUUUGAGUCCCCCAACCUUUGGUGGCCUGUCUUUUUGCCUUUGCUUAGGCUGCAGGGCUCCGUGUUCUUUAUUUUCUGUUGAUCAUGAAUCUGCAAAGGUUUGUGAGUUGGUCCAAGAACAGCUGGAGUUCAAAUCACCUCCCUUUCCAAAAAAAAAAAAAAAAAAAAAACACUC